CCCUUAGAUGUUCUGGGCCGCACGCGCGCUACACUGAUACAUGCAACGAGUUUAUAACCUUGAUCUGACGGUCUGGGUAAUCUUCAAACUGUAUCGUGUUAGGGAUCGAUUCUUGCAAUUUUUAAUCGUAAACGAGGAAUUCCUAGUAAACGCAAGUCAUCAGCUUGCAUUGAUUACGUCCCUGCCCUUUGUACACACCGCCCGUCGCACCUACCGAUUGAAUGGCCCGGUGAAAUCUCGGGACGGCGGCUUGGUCGCUUGCGUCCGACUGCUGAAACUUGAUUAAACCAUAUCAUUUAGAGGAAGGUGAAGUCGUANCA
RNAcentral lists this ribosomal RNA (320 nucleotides) under uncultured eukaryote. RNAcentral's name for it is "partial 18S ribosomal RNA". It matches the Rfam family "Eukaryotic small subunit ribosomal RNA", at positions 1470 to 1796 of the family's 1831-position model. The record is from RNAcentral.